This 1161-nucleotide ribosomal RNA is filed under the name Colletotrichum aeschynomenes. Its description in RNAcentral is "eukaryotic LSU rRNA". The stretch from base 533 to 1161 matches the Rfam family "Eukaryotic large subunit ribosomal RNA", at positions 1 to 654 of the family's 3401-position model. Lineage: Eukaryota; Fungi; Ascomycota; Sordariomycetes; Glomerellales; Glomerellaceae. The record is from RNAcentral.
GUCGUAACAAGGUCUCCGUUGGUGAACCAGCGGAGGGAUCAUUACUGAGUUUACGCUCUAUAACCCUUUGUGAACAUACCUAUAACUGUUGCUUCGGCGGGUAGGGUCUCCGCGACCCUCCCGGCCUCCCGCCUCCGGGCGGGUCGGCGCCCGCCGGAGGAUAACCAAACUCUGAUUUAACGACGUUUCUUCUGAGUGGUACAAGCAAAUAAUCAAAACUUUUAACAACGGAUCUCUUGGUUCUGGCAUCGAUGAAGAACGCAGCGAAAUGCGAUAAGUAAUGUGAAUUGCAGAAUUCAGUGAAUCAUCGAAUCUUUGAACGCACAUUGCGCCCGCCAGCAUUCUGGCGGGCAUGCCUGUUCGAGCGUCAUUUCAACCCUCAAGCUCUGCUUGGUGUUGGGGCCCUACAGCUGAUGUAGGCCCUCAAAGGUAGUGGCGGACCCUCCCGGAGCCUCCUUUGCGUAGUAACUUUACGUCUCGCACUGGGAUCCGGAGGGACUCUUGCCGUAAAACCCCCCAAUUUUCCAAAGGUUGACCUCGGAUCAGGUAGGAAUACCCGCUGAACUUAAGCAUAUCAAUAAGCGGAGGAAAAGAAACCAACAGGGAUUGCCUCAGUAACGGCGAGUGAAGCGGCAACAGCUCAAAUUUGAAAUCUGGCCCUAGGCCCGAGUUGUAAUUUGCAGAGGAUGCUUUGGGUGCGGUGCCUUCCAAGUUCCCUAGAACGGGACGCCAGAGAGGGUGAGAGCCCCGUACAGUUGGACACCAAGCCUUUGUAAAGCUCCUUCGACGAGUCGAGUAGUUUGGGAAUGCUGCUCAAAAUGGGAGGUAUAUUUCUUCUAAAGCUAAAUACCGGCCAGAGACCGAUAGCGCACAAGUAGAGUGAUCGAAAGAUGAAAAGCACUUUGAAAAGAGGGUUAAACAGCACGUGAAAUUGUUAAAAGGGAAGCGCUUGUGACCAGACUUGCGUCCGGUGAAUCACCCAGCUCUCGCGGCUGGGGCACUUCGCCGGCUCAGGCCAGCAUCAGCUCGCUGUCGGGGACAAAAGCUUCAGGAACGUAGCUCUCUUCGGGGAGUGUUAUAGCCUGUUGCAUAAUACCCUUCGGCGGGCUGAGGUACGCGCUCCGCAAGGAUGCUGGCAUAAUGGUCAUCAGCGACCCGUCU